RNAcentral lists this ribosomal RNA (2957 nucleotides) under alkali sediment metagenome. RNAcentral describes it as "bacterial LSU rRNA". It matches the Rfam family "Bacterial large subunit ribosomal RNA". The record is from RNAcentral.
AGGGUGUAUGGGGGAUGUCUAGGUGUCGAGAGGCGAAGAAGGACGUGGCAGGCUGCGAUAAGCCCGGGGCAGGUGUCAAGCAACCGUUAAUCCCGGGAUUUCCGAAUGGGGCAACCCGUCAGAAGCGGGCAACCGUCUUCUGUCAUCUGCGGCUGAAUGCAUAGGCCGUAUGAAGCUAACGCAGGGAACUGACACAUCUCAGUACCUGUAGGAAAAGAAAUCAACCGAGACUCCGUUAGUAGUGGCGAGCGAAAGCGGAUUAGCCCAAACCAGAGGGCUUGCUCUCUGGGGUUGCGGGCGCCGGUAAGCAGUUACAAAGGCAUCACAAGCAGAAUCUUCUGGAAAGUUGAACCAUAGAAGGUGAUAGUCCUGUAUGCGAAAGUGAGAGCCCUGCGUCACUGCCGGCGUACCAGAGUAGCACGGAGCUCGUGGAACUCCGUGUGAAGCUGGGGGGCCCACCCUCCAAGGCUAAGUACUACUCGACAACCGAUAGUGGAUAGUAAGGCGACUGAACGAUGAAAAGUACCCCUAUUAGGGGAGUUAAAAGUACCUGAAACCAUACACCUACAAGCUGUGGAAGCCCUAUGACCAGUCUUCGGACUGGUAAUGGGUGACCGCGUGCCUUUUGCAUAAUGAGCCGGCGAGUUACCGUUUGUGGCAAGGUUAAAUCUUUAAGGGAUGAAGCCAUAGCGAAAGCGAGUCUUAACAGGGCGUUUAAGUCGCAGGCGGUAGACGCGAAUCCAAGUGAUCUACCCAUGGCCAGGUUGAAUCCGCCGUAAAAGGCGGAGGAGGACCGAACUCAUUAACGUUGAAAAGUUAUGGGAUGAGCUGUGGGGAGGAGUAAAAGUCUAAUCAAACUUGGGGAUAUCUCGUUCUCUUCGAAAUAGCUUUUGGGCUAGCCUUGAGCUACUACUUUACGGGGGUAGAGCUACUGAAUGGGGAUAGGGAGCCACCAGCUUACCAACCCCAACCAAACUCCGAAUACCGUAAAGAUUAUCUCAGGAGUCAGACUGCGGGGGAUAACCUUCGUGGUCAAAAGGGAAACAACCCAGACCGCCAGCUAAGGUCCCAAAGUUUUGCUGAGUUCAUAAGGAAGUUGAAUUGCCGUGACAGCCAGGAUGUUGGCUUAGAAGCAGCCACCAUUUAAAAAGUGCGUAAUAGCUUACUGGUCGAGCAGUUUGGCGCCGAUAAUGAACGGGAAUAAGCAAAACACCGAAGCUGCGGAUUCGCACCUGCUUUGAGACUUUACCGUCGAACAACGUAAGGUGUCUGUUUGAUUGUAGAUUCUCAUAGCAGGUGCGAAUGGUAGGAGAGCGUUGCUGCCAGCAUCGAAGCCGUACGGUAACGAGCGGUGGAGCGGCAGCAAGUGAUUAUGCCGGUAUGAGUAACGAUAAAACAGGUGAGAAUCCUGUUCGCCGAAAGCCUAAGGUUUCCUGGGGAAGGUAAAUCCGCCCAGGGUUAGUCGGUCCCUUAGUCGAGGCUGAAAGGCGUAGACGAUGGACAGCAGGUAUCGAAGGUUAUAACUGUGGGGGCAACGCAGUAGCAAAGGCUGGAAGCUGACUAGUCGUGGCUAUCGUGCCUGAGGCGUUGUCGGCAGGCAAAUCCGCCGGCACAAAACGCCGAGGGGCCGCAAGGGCCAAUUUAUGAUGCCCGAGCAGCUAGAGCUGUUGCCAAGAAAAACCUCAAACAGGACAACGAUGCGUACCCGUACUAAAACUGACACAGGUAGGCGAGGAGAAUAUCCUAAGGCGCUCGAGAAAACCGUUCUCGUUUAAUUUAUGAGAUGUGUGCUGAGGGCGCAGCGAAGUGGCUCUGGCGACUGUUUAUCAAAAACACAGUUCUGUGCUAACUCUUAAAGAGGAUGUAUACAGAAUGACGCGUGCUCGGUGCCGGAAGGUCAAGGAAGUCGGUCAUUGGGAGUAAUCUCGAAAAGCUGACAACCGAAGCCCCGGUAAACGGCGGCCGUAACUAUGACGGUCCUAAGGUAGCGAAGUUCCUUGUCGGGUAAGUUCCGACGUGCAUGAACCGCGUAACGACUGGAGCACUGUCUCAAGGACGGACUCGGUGAAAUUGUACUUGUGGUGAAGAUACCACAUACCCGCGGCAAGACGGAAAGACCCCGUGAACCUUUACUGUAGCCUGGUAUUGAUGCCUGACAUAUCUUGCGUAGGAUAGGUGGGAGGCUUUGAGGCCCCGAUUUCGGUCGGGGCGGAGCCAACGUUGAAAUACCACCCUUGCUAUGUUAGUCACCUAACCACGACCCGUGAAUCCGGGCGUGGAACAGUGCUUGGUGGGCAGUUUGACUGGGGCGGUCUCCUCCUAAAGAGUAACGGAGGAGCUCAAAGGUACACUCAGCGUGGUUGGCAAUCACGCAUAGAGCAUAAGGGUAUAAGUGUGCUUAACUGCGAGACUCAUUAGUCGAGCAGAUGCGAAAGCAGGACCUAAUGAUCCGGUGAUUCUGUGUGGAAGGGUCAUCGCUCAACAGAUAAAAGGUACUCUGGGGAUAACAGGCUUAUCUCCCCCGAGCGUCCAUAGCGGCGGGGAGGUUUGGCACCUCGAUGUCGGCCCAUCGCAUCCUGGGGCUGAAGGCGGUCCCAAGGGUUGGGCUGUUCGCCCAUUAAAGCGGUACGCGAGCUGGGUUCAGACCGGCGUGAGCCAGGUCGGUCCCUAUCUGCUGUGGGCGUAGGAAUCUUGAGGAAAUGUUUCCCUAGUACGAGAGGAUUGGGAAGCACUGACCGAUGGUGUACCGGUUGUCCCGCUAGGGGCACCGCCGGGUAGCUAUGUCAGGAAAGGAUAACCGCUGAAAGCAUCUAAGCGGGAAGCCCAUUCCAAGAUAAGGAUUCCUUGUAGUCUUCGGACUGCAGAAGAGCCCUGAUAGACUAUCAGGUUGAUAGGCCGGGUGUGUAAGGCGAGAAAUCGCUUCAGCUAACCGGUACUAACGCUCGAUUACUUGACCA